CGCCUGGGGAGUACGGGUGAGGUAACGGCUCACCAAGGCAUCGACGGGUAGCUGGUCUGAGAGGACGAUCAGCCACACUGGGACUGAGACACGGCCCAGACUCCUUCGGGAGGCAGCAGUAGGGAAUCUUGCGCAAUGGGCGAAAGCCUGACGCAGCAACGCCGCGUGGGGGAUGAAUGCCUUCGGGUUGUAAACCCCUUUCAGCAGGGACGAAAAUGACGGUACCUGCAGAAGAAGCUCCGGCCAACUACGUGCCAGCAGCCGCGGUAAUACGUAGGGAACGAGCGUUGUCCGGAAUUAUUGGGCGUAAAGAGCUCGUAGGCGGUUCAGUAAGUCGGGUGUGAAAACUCAAGGCUCAACCUUGAGACGCCACUCGAUACUGCUGUGACUUGAGUCCGGUAGAGGAGUGUGGAAUUCCUGGUGUAGCGGUGAAAUGCGCAGAUAUCAGGAGGAACACCAGCGGCGAAGGCGGCACUCUGGGCCGGUACUGACGCUGAGGAGCGAAAGCAUGGGGAGCAAACAGGAUUAGAUACCCUGGUAGUCCAUGCCGUAAACGUUGGGCACUAGGUAUGGGAUCAUAUCAACGGAUUCCGUGCCGUAGCUAACGCAUUAAGUGCCCCGCCUGGGGAGUACGG
Molecule: ribosomal RNA, 635 nt
Filed under: uncultured Actinomycetes bacterium
Lineage: Bacteria; Bacillati; Actinomycetota; Actinomycetes
Description: bacterial SSU rRNA
Rfam family: Bacterial small subunit ribosomal RNA
Source: RNAcentral